GAGUUUGAUCCUGGCUCAGAUUGAACGCUGGCGGCAGGCCUAACACAUGCAAGUCGAACGGUAACAGAAAGCAGCUUGCUGCUUUGCUGACGAGUGGCGGACGGGUGAGUAAUGUCUGGGAAACUGCCUGAUGGAGGGGGAUAACUACUGGAAACGGUAGCUAAUACCGCAUAACGUCGCAAGACCAAAGAGGGGGACCUUCGGGCCUCUUGCCAUCGGAUGUGCCCAGAUGGGAUUAGCUUGUUGGUGGGGUAACGGCUCACCAAGGCGACGAUCUCUAGCUGGUCUGAGAGGAUGACCAGCCACACUGGAACUGAGACACGGUCCAGACUCCUACGGGAGGCAGCAGUGGGGAAUAUUGCACAAUGGGCGCAAGCCUGAUGCAGCCAUGCCGCGUGUAUGAAGAAGGCCUUCGGGUUGUAAAGUACUUUCAGCGGGGAGGAAGGGAGUAAAGUUAAUACCUUUGCUCAUUGACGUUACCCGCAGAAGAAGCA
RNAcentral lists this ribosomal RNA (494 nucleotides) under uncultured bacterium. Its description in RNAcentral is "bacterial SSU rRNA". It matches the Rfam family "Bacterial small subunit ribosomal RNA", at positions 9 to 492 of the family's 1533-position model. The record is from RNAcentral.